This 850-nucleotide ribosomal RNA is filed under the name uncultured bacterium. RNAcentral describes it as "bacterial SSU rRNA". It matches the Rfam family "Bacterial small subunit ribosomal RNA", at positions 45 to 878 of the family's 1533-position model. The record is from RNAcentral.
CGCUGCUAUCAUGCAGUCGAGCGGACAGAAGGGAGCUUGCUCCCGGAUGUUAGCGGCGGACGGGUGAGUAACACGUGGGUAACCUGCCUGUAAGACUGGGAUAACUCCGGGAAACCGGAGCUAAUACCGGAUAGUUCCUUGAACCGCAUGGUUCAAGGAUGAAAGACGGUUUCGGCUGUCACUUACAGAUGGACCCGCGGCGCAUUAGCUAGUUGGUGAGGUAACGGCUCACCAAGGCGACGAUGCGUAGCCGACCUGAGAGGGUGAUCGGCCACACUGGGACUGAGACACGGCCCAGACUCCUACGGGAGGCAGCAGUAGGGAAUCUUCCGCAAUGGACGAAAGUCUGACGGAGCAACGCCGCGUGAGUGAUGAAGGUUUUCGGAUCGUAAAGCUCUGUUGUUAGGGAAGAACAAGUGCAAGAGUAACUGCUUGCACCUUGACGGUACCUAACCAGAAAGCCACGGCUAACUACGUGCCAGCAGCCGCGGUAAUACGUAGGUGGCAAGCGUUGUCCGGAAUUAUUGGGCGUAAAGGGCUCGCAGGCGGUUUCUUAAGUCUGAUGUGAAAGCCCCCGGCUCAACCGGGGAGGGUCAUUGGAAACUGGGAAACUUGAGUGCAGAAGAGGAGAGUGGAAUUCCACGUGUAGCGGUGAAAUGCGUAGAGAUGUGGAGGAACACCAGUGGCGAAGGCGACUCUCUGGUCUGUAACUGACGCUGAGGAGCGAAAGCGUGGGGAGCGAACAGGAUUAGAUACCCUGGUAGUCCACGCCGUAAACGAUGAGUGCUAAGUGUUAGGGGGUUUCCGCCCCUUAGUGCUGCAGCUAACGCAUUAAGCACUCCGCCUGGGG